RNAcentral lists this ribosomal RNA (806 nucleotides) under Sonderopelta coriacea. Its description in RNAcentral is "LSU rRNA". It matches the Rfam family "Eukaryotic large subunit ribosomal RNA", at positions 1323 to 2134 of the family's 3401-position model. Lineage: Eukaryota; Rhodophyta; Florideophyceae; Peyssonneliales; Peyssonneliaceae. The record is from RNAcentral.
UGGCGCUGAAGCGGGUGGCCGACACCACACCGUGUGAAUAAGUAUUUUUGGGUGGAUGAUUACAUGAGGAGGAGGGCGUGGUGGCCGUGGAGAAGCAUGGUGGCAAGCCCGUGUGGUGCGGUCCGCUAGUGCUGAUCUUGGUGGUAGUAGCAAGUAUUCUUGCGAGAAGCUUGAAGGGCGAAGCGGGGAAGGGUUCCUCGCGAACAUUGAUUGGGGGUGGGUGAGUCGUUCCUAAUCCGAGUGGCAAUUGCUAAGUAUAUGUGCGAAAGGGAAGCGGGUUGACAUUCCCGCACACGGAUGUGGAGCGCGGCGACGCGUAAUGGGGCGAACACGCUGGCGAUGGCGCUGGGCAGAGUUGUCUUUUCUGUUUGACCGAGUGUGCGAGCUGUGUGGAAUCCGCUUGUCGGGAGAAACACGCUUGCACGGGCAGAGCGCCGGGGCUUUUCCGGCGUCCAGCUCGCCAUCGACGGCCCUUGAAACUUUGCCUGCUGAAUAAUAUUUUUUGAAGAUCCACGCCGUGGCGUACCGAUCACCGCAUCAGGUCCCCGAGGUGAACAGCCUCUGCUCGAUAUGAACAAUGCAGGUAAGGGAAGUCGGCAAAUUGGACCCGUAACUUUGGGAAAAGGGUUGGCUCUAGUGCUGCGUGGGAGAGGUUGUCCGUGUGUGGGGGCGGAGGGAGGGCUGGCUCUGGCGCGGGAUCUCCGGGAAACUGGGGAAUCUGUUCUGGGCUGCUUUCUCACUGCCUUCCACCUCAGACGACGCCCACGGCAUGCAGCAGACUAGAACUGCAACGGGCAAAGGGAAUC